This 597-nucleotide long non-coding RNA is filed under the name Nicotiana benthamiana. RNAcentral's name for it is "long non-coding RNA (NBEN_LNC002407)". Lineage: Eukaryota; Viridiplantae; Streptophyta; Magnoliopsida; Solanales; Solanaceae. The record is from RNAcentral.
AGAAUAUGUCUGAGACGAUCUACAACGUAUAAGGUUCAGUAUUCCACUUUUGAAUAAUCAAAUAGCAAGCUUGCAACAAGGUAAAUCAAUCUAAAAAAUAUACUUCGAUUGAAUGUUAUUUAUUGGUUUAGUCGCCACUCGCCAGUGAAAGGUCUUUUGCUAUUAUUUUGGGUUGCAACUGGAUCCACUUUCUGCUGAUGUUUCUGGAUGCAGUUGAAGCCACUUAUGCUGCUGCUUCUUGGAUAUUACUACAAACACCUUUAAAGUUGUUCUGGAUGCGAUUGGAACUACUUUUGUUGCUCUUUUUCUAGAUGCUGCUACAGUCAUUUUUGUUGUUGUACUAUUAGGUUAGUCCAGCUGGUUACACAUCAAACUCUUCAGUACUUUUAACUUCUAAGAUCCAGGUCCAUCCAUUUUUGUUUCCUUUUGUAUAUGCCCUGUGUUCGAGUCUCCCCAAGAGCGAGGUGGGAAGUUCUUGGAGGGAAGGAUGCCUGGGGUCUAUUUGGAAAUAGCCUCUCUACCCAAGGGUAGGGAUAAAGUCUGCGUACAUACUACCCUCCCCAGACCCCACUAAGUGGGAUUAUACUGGGUUGUUGU